Small nucleolar RNA from Acomys russatus (golden spiny mouse), 128 nucleotides. RefSeq annotates it as small nucleolar RNA SNORA24. The record is from RefSeq and is a predicted model, not a curated record. The transcript has a single exon. Lineage: Eukaryota; Metazoa; Chordata; Mammalia; Rodentia; Muridae.
AUCUAUUUCUGUUAAAUAGAUCUUCACUGUAGCAGUAUCCCUUCCAAGCUGUGGAAGAGCCUGUUCUUGUUGACAAAGCUGUCACCCACUUAAUGGAUAGCAGAUUCUGGCUUUAACAAGUAACAUUC